Molecule: long non-coding RNA, 2734 nt
Filed under: Linum usitatissimum (flax)
Lineage: Eukaryota; Viridiplantae; Streptophyta; Magnoliopsida; Malpighiales; Linaceae
Description: long non-coding RNA (LUSI_LNC005012)
Source: RNAcentral
AUAAAUAUAAUAAAGUGGAGUUAGACUUGGCUGAAUUCCAAGUUGACUUGUCCAAACCACAACAAGUCAGAUAGCUUAGCCAGAUUAUGAUUAAGAUAUAGAAAGCUAGGGCCCAACCAGAAGGUGCCACUGUAGCUUAGGAACAGUAGUCCUGUUUCUUAAUUCAGUUCCAUCCCAACGUGAUCUUUCCUAAUUUCUUAGUCCUUCCUUCCAUCUGGUUUCAUCCCAACUGCAAUUCCAAAACUCUUUUGUUCAUCUCCUUCUAUAAGAUUUGCCCAAUUUCUUUCACCGUUUCCUCUUUGCAACUACUCUAACUUCCUUACCUCCACGAACACCUUUGUCGAUCUCAAGUUCUCAACCAUCAUCGCAGAUGUAGCACCCCCAGCGAAAUUCCUACCUUGAAAUCUAACAAGCUCAGCUGUGCUUCCUCAGCGAUUUCAGCAGCUGCUCCUCCCAAGAAUCAUACUCUCAGAUUCGGCACCCUUCCUAGGUAGAAGGACAACGCGACUUCUUCCUUGCUAUUUCAGCUUCCCCCAUUGUGACAGUUCCCGAGUGCUCAUCCUUCUCUACGAGUCCAAGUUGUCUUCUUUGUCUGUUUUCUAGGUUGUUGGUCGGCCUCUCACUGCUCCUUGCUGUAUUUUGUGCUAUCCACCCAUUCAACCACAACUCCAAGUAAGUUCCUUGAUUUCAAAUCCCUCCCAAUUGAGAUGCCGACUUAGUCGCCAGUUCCUGUCGAGAAAGACGCCCUGAACUUGAUCCAUGGUGUGGAAAUCCAAUUCCUAUGAUCAAUUCAAGAUCCAAAAGCUCGGCCUUUCGCCCCUCUUGGUUGUGAUCGGUGUGAGGACAUUAGCCCAAAUUUCUCUUCUGCUCCUACGAGGCCAGAUCAAAUUUUUUGCAUAAGGGACCAUACAUCUGGCCAGACGCAGAGGUAAGAUUUCCUCCUCUCUCCAGUUAUUCAUACUUAGUUUUAUGAGGUUUUUCCAGAUUGCUGCCCCUUUCCUGUGAUGGGUUUUUUCGUCUAUUCUCUAUAUUUUAGUUUGCUGCCAUAAUAGGGUUCUGACCAGGUGAAAGCUUUUGAUUUGUUCUUUGGUGUUUACCAGUUUGAGGCUUUGACUACUAAUAAUCUCAAGUUCUGUUUUCAGUUUUUUGCCUUCAUCUUGGUCAUAUAUUCUAAUGAAGAUGAAUCAUAUAACCAACUUGGUGUAAUCAGUAAUGAUAAGCUUUAUCCCUAUAUUAAACAAUUUCUUGAAGACUAUAGAAUCUGAUUAUAUAUGUUUUUGAAGUUUGAAUGGUUUGAGUCAUGGCAUCAGGGUGAUGUAAUGUUUAGGAAGGGUAGGUCAUGAUCUUAUUCUCAUACAUCUAACACAAACCAAGUUGUUUAUUAAUCUGUCCCAAAGGAUAAUUGCAUUUGCUUCGUCAUAUGGUAGACGCUGGCUGCAUAUAUUCAUCUUUGUGUUGGCAAUUGUCCACGUCAGUUGCUGCAUCAUCACCUGUAUAACCAUAUUCUAUCAUUCAACUUUGGAUUGUACGUGUGAUAAUAAGAAGACUUAAUCAAUUCUGAAUAAUCUAUGCAAAUUAGGGGGAAUGAGAGGCUAUAAUUGUUGUCUGAUGCUUUUUUUCAAUUUUUGGUUGGCUCAAAUACAACCGGGUGUGUCUUUAGACCAGUUACCAAGGUUGGUUAUAGGACCCUAAGACAUGGAUUUCUGAUAAUAAAUAAAGGAAAAUGGAAGUUCCAGAAGUAUCUUAAGUUUUGAUCUUUAAUAAUAAGAAGUGGAAAUGUUUGUAUCAUGCAGAUUUGGAUACUAGAAGUAAGAAUAUAUUCAACUUCUAGAGAAACCUGAACAGAUCAUUUGAAAAUAAUUUCAAAAUGGUCUAGGGGUUAGAUUUGUGCUCUUUACUAUUUGUGGUUUUAUUUAUCUGCAGGUUCUAAGUUUUUAGUUGCUGUGCUCUUAUUGCUGGUGUGCUCUUAUUUUCAGAUAGGGCAUCACAAGGUAGCAAGAGAGGUGAGUUACCAUUGCUCUUAUUGUAAUGUAUGCUUAAAAUUGUAUUUUUGAAGUAAAUGAUUUUUGGGUGAGUUCCAGUCAAUUGGUUUGUUUGGUUAAAAUAAGUUGGGGUGUUCGUGUUUUUUGGGGAUCAAAUUUAACACUGCAGGAAAGAGUGUAUUCAGAGGUAUUGUAACUCUUUCAAUAUGUACUUACGUAUGUAUUUACCACAACUAUUAAUUAAGAGGAGAGUUGAUUGAUUAAUGAUUAAGCAGCAUGAUCAGAUUGAUAACCAGUAUGUGGCUCAUUCCCCUCCCCACCAAUUUAAAAGUUGUUUUACAAGUUUAUAUGCAAUGCACAUGUGGGCUGAUAUUUCAUCGCCAUUUUCUGUGUAAUAAUUAUAUUGUCCGAUGGAUAUUGUAUUCAAGUUGUUUGUACCCAAUUUUUAUGUUCUUUGUAUGGUAUUUUACAAUUACAUACAAUUAUUACGGGUGCACAAUAUCUAUUAAUAAUCGAAUUUGAAUUUCGCGACAUCGUGCGACCACCCAAACUAGUUCAUUUAUGAAAGGUGCUGCAGAUGGGCACCGGCGGAAAGCCUCUGCCUAGUCCUAUAAACAGUUUAAAAGAUGUGAUAUGUUUCUCUGGCAAACAAAUUUCUAACUGAGUACUGCUAUCCAACAUUUACAUUUCUUCUACGAUUUAAAUUCCAAUGAAACCAAAAUAAAAUAAUUAAAUUAAUACAACACUACAUA